Molecule: unclassified non-coding RNA, 254 nt
Organism: Pan paniscus (pygmy chimpanzee)
Lineage: Eukaryota; Metazoa; Chordata; Mammalia; Primates; Hominidae
Rfam family: Metazoan signal recognition particle RNA
About the family: The signal recognition particle (SRP) is a universally conserved ribonucleoprotein. It is involved in the co-translational targeting of proteins to membranes.
Source: Ensembl
GCUGGGUGUGGUGGCUCACAUCUGUAAUCCCAACACUUUGGGAGGCUGAGACAGGUGGAUCACUUGAGGCCAGGAGUUCAAGACCAGCCUGGCCAACAUGGUGAAACUCCGUCUCUACUAAAAAUACAAAAAAUUAAGGCCGGGCAUGGUGGCUCAUGCCUGUAAUCCCAGCAAUGUCAGAGGCCAAGGCAAGUGGAUCACCUGAGGUCAGGAGUUCAAGACCAGCCUGGCCAAUAUGGUGAAAUCCUGUCUCU